This 88-nucleotide non-coding RNA is filed under the name Ricinus communis (castor bean). RNAcentral describes it as "Eukaryotic small subunit ribosomal RNA". It matches the Rfam family "Eukaryotic small subunit ribosomal RNA", at positions 1742 to 1831 of the family's 1831-position model. The record is from Rfam by way of RNAcentral. Lineage: Eukaryota; Viridiplantae; Streptophyta; Magnoliopsida; Malpighiales; Euphorbiaceae.
ACGUCGCGAGAAGUCCACUGACCUUAUCAUUUAGAGGAAGGAGAAGUCGUAACAAGGUUUCCGUAGGUGAACUGCGGAAGGAUCAUUG